RNAcentral lists this transfer RNA (71 nucleotides) under Loxodonta africana (African savanna elephant). It matches the Rfam family "tRNA". Rfam says of the family: Transfer RNA (tRNA) molecules are approximately 80 nucleotides in length. The record is from Rfam by way of RNAcentral. Lineage: Eukaryota; Metazoa; Chordata; Mammalia; Proboscidea; Elephantidae.
GCAUUGGUGGUUUAGUGGUAGAAUUCUCCCCUUCUGUGUGGAAGACCCUGGUUCAAUUCCUGGCCAAUACA